This 801-nucleotide ribosomal RNA is filed under the name uncultured bacterium. RNAcentral's name for it is "bacterial SSU rRNA". It matches the Rfam family "Bacterial small subunit ribosomal RNA", at positions 109 to 936 of the family's 1533-position model. The record is from RNAcentral.
AGUAACACGUUGGAACCUGCCCCGAACUCAGGGAUAACCCGCCGAAAGGCGGGCUAAUACCGGAUGGUCCCGCAAGGGUAAAGCUUUUGCGGUUCGGGAGGGGCCUGCGGCCUAUCAGUUUGUUGGUAAGGUAACGGCUUACCAAGACUAUGACGGGUAACUGGUCUGAGAGGACGACCAGUCAGAAUGGGACUGAGACACGGCCCAUACUCCUACGGGAGGCAGCAGUGAGGAAUCUUCCGCAAUGGGCGAAAGCCUGACGGAGCGACACCGCGUGAAGGAUGACACCCUUUCCGGGCGUAAACUUCUGUUCUGAGGGACGAAAUUUUUGACGGUAUCUCAGGAGAAAGCACCGGCUAAUUCCGUGCCAGCAGCCGCGGUAAGACGGAAGGUGCAAGCGUUACUCGGAAUUACUGGGCGUAAAGCGUCCGCAGCCGUUCCGCGAAGUCCGGCGUAAAAGCACAGAGCUCAACUCUGUUGUAUGUGCUAGAAACUGGCGGAAUUGAGUCACCCAGAGGCAUCUGGAAUACCGUGUGUAGGGGUAAAAUCCGUUGAUCCACGGUAGAACGCCGAAAGCGAAAGCAGGAUGCUGGGGGUGUACUGACGGUCAGGGACGAAAGCGUGGGGAGCGAACGGGAUUAGAUACCCCGGUAGUCCACGCCCUAAACGAUGCGUGCUCGGUGUUGGGACUUUUCAAUUGGUCUCAGUGCCUUAAGCUUACGCGGUAAGCACGCCGCCUGGGAAGUACGGCCGCAAGGCUAAAACUCAAAGGAAUAGACGGGGACCCACACAAGCGGUGGA